This 811-nucleotide ribosomal RNA is filed under the name uncultured bacterium. RNAcentral's name for it is "bacterial SSU rRNA". It matches the Rfam family "Bacterial small subunit ribosomal RNA", at positions 8 to 802 of the family's 1533-position model. The record is from RNAcentral.
AGAGGUUGAUCCUGGCUCAGAAUGAACGCUGGCGGCGUGCUUAACACAUGCAAGUCGAACGAGAAACUCCGAGCUUGCUUGGAGGAGUAAAGUGGCGAACGGGUGAGUAAUGCAUAGAUAACUUGCCUUAAAGAUUGGGACAACCUUGGGAAACUAAGGCUAAUACCGAAUAAUAUAAUUAUUUUAAUAGUAAUUAUUAAAGGGGGCUUCGGCUCUCGCUUUAAGAUAGGUUUAUGUCUGAUUAGCUUGUUGGUGGGGCAAUGGCCUACCAAGGCGACGAUCAGUAGCUGGUCUGAGAGGAUGAUCAGCCACAUUGGGACUGAGAUACGGCCCAGACUCCUACGGGAGGCAGCAGUGGGGAAUUUUGCGCAAUGAGCGAAAGCUUGACGCAGCAACGCCGCGUGACCGAAGAAGCAUCUAGGUGUGUAAAGGUCUGUCGUUAAAGAAGAAGUGAAUAUAAAUUAAUAAUUUAUAUUUUUGACGGUAUUUAACAAGAAAGCUCCGGCUAACUCCGUGCCAGCAGCCGCGGUAAUACGGGGGGAGCAAGCGUUAUCCGGAAUUACUGGGCAUAAAGGGCGCGUAGGCGGAUUGGUAAGUCAGUUUUAAAAUACAACAGCUUAACUGUUGGUUGGGAACUGAAACUGUUAAUCUUGAGUGCGAGAGAAGGAAGUGGAAUUCCUGGUGUAGCGGUGAAAUGCGUAGAUAUCAGGAGGAACACCGGUGGCGAAGGCGGCUUCCUAGCUCGUAACUGACGCUAAGGUGCAAAAGCGUGGGUAGCAAACAGGAUUAGAUACCCUGGUAGUCCACGCCC